UACAGAGGGUGCAAGCGUUAUUCGGAUUCACUGGGCGUAAAGGGUGCGCAGGCGGUUGGGUGUGUCAGAUGUGAAAUCCCGAGGCUUAACCUCGGAACUGCGUCUGAAACUACUCGACUAGAGUACUGGAGAGGGAAACGGAAUUCACGGUGUAGCAGUGAAAUGCGUAGAUAUCGUGAGGAACACCAGAGGCGAAGGCGGUUUCCUGGACAGUUACUGACGCUCAGGCACGAAAGCAUGGGGAGCAAAAGGG
RNAcentral lists this ribosomal RNA (253 nucleotides) under uncultured bacterium. Its description in RNAcentral is "partial 16S ribosomal RNA". It matches the Rfam family "Bacterial small subunit ribosomal RNA", at positions 524 to 776 of the family's 1533-position model. The record is from RNAcentral.